GAGUGGUAGCAUUUCUAGCGUUGCUAGAAGAUGACGAGCGGCGGACGGGUGAGUAAUGCUUGGGAAUAUGCCUUAUGGUGGGGGACAACAGUUGGAAACGACUGCUAAUACCGCACAACGUCUACGGACCAAAGGGGGGGAUCUUCGGACCUCCCGCCAUUUGAUUAGCCCGAGUGAGAUUAGCUAGUUGGUGAGGUAAUGGCUCACCAAGGCGACGAUCUCUAGCUGGUUUGAGAGGAUGAUCAGCCACACUGGGACUGAGACACGGCCCAGACUCCUACGGGAGGCAGCAGUGGGGAAUAUUGCACAAUGGGCGAAAGCCUGAUGCAGCCAUGCCGCGUGUGUGAAGAAGGCCUUCGGGUUGUAAAGCACUUUCAGUAAGGAGGAAAGGGUAGUCGUUAAUAGCGGCUAUCUGUGACGUUACUUACAGAAGAAGCACCGGCUAACUUCGUGCUAGCAGCCGCGGUAAUACGAGGGGUGCAAGCGUUAAUCGGAAUUACUGUGCGUAAAG
Molecule: ribosomal RNA, 511 nt
Filed under: uncultured Colwellia sp.
Lineage: Bacteria; Pseudomonadati; Pseudomonadota; Gammaproteobacteria; Alteromonadales; Colwelliaceae
Description: bacterial SSU rRNA
Rfam family: Bacterial small subunit ribosomal RNA
Source: RNAcentral